GGUCAAGAGUGCCAGCGUCAAGUCCCGGCUUGCUGGCCGACAACCCUCCGACCGCGGUGGGGUGCCCCCGGGAGAGACCAGGCCCGUUGCAGUAGCGCGACGGGCAAGCGCGGACU
Molecule: non-coding RNA, 116 nt
Filed under: Labilithrix luteola
Lineage: Bacteria; Pseudomonadati; Myxococcota; Polyangiales; Labilitrichaceae
Description: SAM-IV sequence
Rfam family: SAM (S-adenosyl methionine) riboswitch aptamer
About the family: SAM-IV is a mRNA element that regulates gene expression via direct sensing of S-adenosylmethionine (SAM or AdoMet). SAM-IV riboswitches share conserved nucleotide positions with the previously described SAM-I riboswitches sequence analysis and molecular recognition experiments suggest that SAM-I and SAM-IV riboswitches share similar ligand binding sites, but have different scaffolds.
Source: Rfam by way of RNAcentral